UAAGGAUCUGCGCAUGGGGAGCAGAAAGGGAAGUAUAGGAGUCAUACCUACCAUAACUCGGCCUUAGACUCCGUCAUCGGGGUGAAGCUUGCUUAUUGGAAGGUGGCUGACUUGAUUCGAUCGGAGCUCCACCAUUCUUUUGUUUCUUUUUCUUUUGACCCUUGCUCUCUGUUUGGUGAUGGUUUGAAGCUUCUUCGUCUGCGUGCAUAUACUUGUAUGCAUGCUCCAAAAGUUCAGCAUAAGUCCGAGGGAGAGUUUUAUACAGAGAAUAUGUAAAUCGUGACCCCCUCAGACCUUUUUUCAUGGCUGAUAUAAUCAUGUCUUCAUUGAAAUUCUUGACCUCAAGCGUGACCACAUUAAAACGAGCCACGAAAUCUCGAAGUGUCUUAGUCUCUUCUUGUUUGAUCGAGAAGAGACUGUCAGAGGUUCCUAGCGGCCUUCGACUGGUACUUAAGUGAGCCACGAAAAAAUGUUCUAGUUGUCCGAAAGAGUAUAUGCUUCCCAACUGAAAUCUGAAGUACUAGGCUCGAGCAGCUUUCCGAAGAGUGAUCGAAAAAAUGAUGCAUAGGAAGACAUCGAUCGCCUCUUGAAUCGUCAUAAGAGCUUUAUAGCUCUCAAAGUGAUUGA
This 627-nucleotide long non-coding RNA is filed under the name Elaeis guineensis (African oil palm). Its description in RNAcentral is "long non-coding RNA (EGUI_LNC000084)". Lineage: Eukaryota; Viridiplantae; Streptophyta; Magnoliopsida; Arecales; Arecaceae. The record is from RNAcentral.